RNAcentral lists this ribosomal RNA (537 nucleotides) under uncultured archaeon. Its description in RNAcentral is "bacterial SSU rRNA". It matches the Rfam family "Archaeal small subunit ribosomal RNA", at positions 326 to 868 of the family's 1478-position model. The record is from RNAcentral.
UCGGGUGCAGCAGGCGCGAAAACUUCGCAAUGGGGGAAACUCCGACGAGGGAAAGCCAAGUGCCAGCCUUAGCUGGCUGUUUUCUUGUCUAAAAAACAAGGAGAGUAAGGGCUGGGUAAGACGGGUGCCAGCCGCCGCGGUAAUACCUGCAGCCCGAGUGGUGCUCGUUAUUAUUGGGUCUAAAUCGUCCGUAGUCGGCCGGGUAGAUGCCUGGGUAAAUCGAGGCGCCUAACGUCUCGAAUGCCAGGUAGACCACCCGGCUUGGGAUCGGGAGAGGUGCGAGGUACUCCAGGGGUAGGGGUAAAAUCCUGUAAUCCUUGGGGGACCACCGGUGGCGAAGGCGUCGCACUAUAACGAGUCCGACAAUCAGGGACAAAACCCUGGGGCGCAAACGGGAUUAGAUACCCCGGUAGUCCAGGGUGUAAACGCUGCAAGCUUGGUGUCAGCGAUCCUACUAGGGUGACCGGAGCCGGAGCGGAAGUGUUAUGCCUGCACCCGGAAGAGUACCGUCGCGGGACAGCACAUUGUAGGAAUUGC